This 468-nucleotide ribosomal RNA is filed under the name uncultured bacterium. RNAcentral describes it as "partial 16S ribosomal RNA". It matches the Rfam family "Bacterial small subunit ribosomal RNA", at positions 28 to 507 of the family's 1533-position model. The record is from RNAcentral.
GACGAACGCUGGCGGCGUGCUUAACACAUGCAAGUCGAACGGAAAGGCCCUGCUUUUGUGGGGUGCUCGAGUGGCGAACGGGUGAGUAACACGUGAGUAACCUGCCCUUGACUUUGGGAUAACUUCAGGAAACUGGGGCUAAUACCGGAUAUGAGCUCCUGCUGCAUGGUGGGGGUGGGAAAGUUUCGGCGGUUGGGGAUGGACUCGAGGCUUAGCAGCUUGUUGGUGGGGUAGUGGCUUACCAAGGCUUUGAGGGGUAGCCGGCCUGAGAGGGUGACCGGCCACAUUGGGACUGAGAUACGGGCCAGACUCCUACGGGAGGCAGCAGUGGGGAAUAUUGCACAAUGGGCGGAAGCCUGAUGCAGCAACGCCGCGUGCGAGAUGACGGCCUUCGGGUUGUAAACCGCUUUCGCCUGUGACGAAGCGUGAGUGACGGUAAUGUGUAAAGAAGCACCGGCUAACUACGUG